Molecule: long non-coding RNA, 1095 nt
Filed under: Daucus carota (carrot)
Lineage: Eukaryota; Viridiplantae; Streptophyta; Magnoliopsida; Apiales; Apiaceae
Description: long non-coding RNA (DCAR_LNC000775)
Source: RNAcentral
CUUCAAUGGCUCACCCGUGUUCUCCCGGGUGCAAUCCAUCAAAUCUGCCCCUAAGAACCACUCAUCUACCAUCUCUGCGGUUGCAACUCCUAACUAUGACCUAGACAACUUCAAAUUCAACCCUAUCAAGGAGUCCAUCGUGUCCCGAGAGAUGACACGGAGAUACAUGACCGACAUGAUCACGUAUGCAGACACUGAUGUUGUUGUUGUAGGUGCAGGAUCAGCUGGCCUAUCAUGUGCCUAUGAGCUCAGCAAGAACCCUGACAUCAACAUAGCAAUUAUUGAACAAUCCGUGAGCCCUGGUGGCGGUGCGUGGCUAGGUGGACAGCUUUUCUCAGCUAUGGUUGUUCGUAAACCAGCUCACAAGUUCCUUGACGAGCUCGAGGUGGAGUACGAUGAGCAAGAUGACUACGUGGUCAUCAAGCAUGCAGCACUUUUUACGUCGACUAUUAUGAGCAAGCUUUUGGCUAGGCCUAAUGUGAAGCUGUUCAAUGCAGUGGCGGCUGAGGAUUUGAUUGUCAAGGGAGACAGAGUUGCUGGAGUUGUGACAAAUUGGGCUCUUGUGUCCAUGAACCAUGACACACAAUCUUGCAUGGACCCGAAUGUCAUGGAAGCUAAGAUUGUGGUUAGCUCGUGUGGGCAUGAUGGUCCUUUUGGAGCCACUGGUGUCAAGAGGUUGAGGAGUAUCGGGAUGAUUGAGAGCGUUCCUGGAAUGAAGGCUCUUGAUAUGAAUGCUGCUGAGGACGCGAUUGUUAGGCUUACUAGAGAAAUUGUGCCCGGGAUGAUUGUUACUGGCAUGGAAGUGGCUGAGAUUGAUGGAUCCCCAAGAAUGGUAAAAACUUUUUACGCGAAUUCCUAUUAUAUACAAAACAUUUUCAUUGAUCAUCUUAUUAGGCUGUAUUAGAAAAUUUUGGGUACAUUUUAACGAAUGUUAUUGUAUAUGCAGGGACCGACAUUUGGGGCGAUGAUGAUGUCAGGACAGAAAGCAGCACAUCUGGCAUUGAGGGCAUUAGGUCUACCAAAUGCUCUGGAAGAGAGCCAACCAGAGUUUGUAAUUGCAGAUGCUGCGGAUGAGAUUGUGGAAGCUUGAUCAAU